GUACACGCUGUGACUAGCAUAUCAAUAAGCGGAGGAAAAGAAACUAACAAGGAUUCCCUUAGUAACGGCGAGUGAAGCGGGAAGAGCUCAAAUUUGAAAUCUUGAAAGGUCACCUUUCACGAAUUGUAGUUUAAAGAGGAGUUUUCUGUUACGAUCGUAAUAUAAGUUCUUUGGAGUAGGACAUCACAGAGGGUGAGAAUCCCGCCUAUGAUUGCGAUUUGUAGCUUUGUGAUACACUUUCAAAGAGUCGGGUUGUUUGGGAAUGCAGCCCAAAACGGGAGGUAAAUUUCUUCUAAGGCUAAAUAUUGGCGAGAGACCGAUAGCGAACAAGUACCGUGAGGGAAAGAUGAAAAGAACUUUGAAAAGAGAGUUAAAUAGUACGUGAAAUUGUCAAAAGGGAAGCGUUUAACACCAGUGUUGUUUUCUGAAAAUCAACCUCUGUUAGCUUUAUGCAUGUUUGUUUAGACCUAAUCAGCUAUCUUGCAUGUUCUAUUGUUUGCAGUGGUGCACUUUUCAGUUUACAGGUCAACAUCAGUUUUUUUUACCGUAAAAAAGUUAAAGAAAGGUAGCUCAUGGCUCCGGUCGUGAGUGUUAUAGUCUUUUUCCUAUGCGGUAGGAGAGACUGAGGUCUGCAGUGUAGGCUAUUUGGCUAGAUACUCAAGUGCUAUGUGAUACCAUUUCAUAAGCAACUUGUUGAUUAUGUUUUGUCUAUUGCAUACUCGCUUGUACUAUCAUACCUACGCUUAGGAUGUUGAGUAGCGACAUACGCAC
This 771-nucleotide ribosomal RNA is filed under the name uncultured Neocallimastigales. RNAcentral's name for it is "partial large subunit ribosomal RNA". The stretch from base 4 to 661 matches the Rfam family "Eukaryotic large subunit ribosomal RNA", at positions 24 to 664 of the family's 3401-position model. Lineage: Eukaryota; Fungi; Neocallimastigomycota; Neocallimastigomycetes; Neocallimastigales. The record is from RNAcentral.